This 67-nucleotide small RNA is filed under the name Arabidopsis thaliana (thale cress). RNAcentral describes it as "ATSL169320". Lineage: Eukaryota; Viridiplantae; Streptophyta; Magnoliopsida; Brassicales; Brassicaceae. The record is from RNAcentral.
GUUUUUAGUCUUUUCGUAUGUUUACAAGUCUUUACAGGUGCAUAUCUACUUUUGAGAGCUAUAGAGC